GGAUGUGAGGGCGAUCUGGCUGCGACAUCUGUCACCCCAUUGAUCGCCAGGGUUGAUUCGGUUGAUCUGGCUGGCUAGGCGGGUGUCCCCUUCCUCCCUCACCGCUCCAUGUGCGUCCCUCCCGAAGCUGCGUGCUCGGUCGAAGAGGACGACCUUCCCCAAUAGAGGAGAGGACCGUUCUUUGGUCAAGGGUAUACGAGUAGCUGCGCUCCUCUGCUAGAACCUCCAAACAAGCUCUCAAGAAUUAGCAUCCAAAAUAUAUAGAGAACUCAUGAAACUAAAUUUUUAAAAAUCUGAUUAAAAAUGGACAUGAGCAAAAAAAAAAAAAAAAGGGCAAAGAAAAGAUGCUCAACAUC
This is an unclassified non-coding RNA of Mustela putorius furo (domestic ferret), 356 nucleotides long. Its record names the gene 7SK. It matches the Rfam family "7SK RNA". From Rfam's summary of the family: 7SK was discovered as an abundant small nuclear RNA in the mid-70s but a possible function has only recently been suggested. Two independent studies have found that 7SK RNA binds the CDK9/cyclin T complex (known as elongation factor P-TEFb). P-TEFb activates transcription by phosphorylating the C-terminal domain of RNA polymerase II. NCBI's taxonomy places the organism in Eukaryota, Metazoa, Chordata, Mammalia, Carnivora, Mustelidae. The record is from Ensembl.